This 520-nucleotide unclassified non-coding RNA is filed under the name uncultured Glomus. RNAcentral describes it as "SSU rRNA". It matches the Rfam family "Eukaryotic small subunit ribosomal RNA", at positions 569 to 1093 of the family's 1831-position model. Lineage: Eukaryota; Fungi; Glomeromycota; Glomeromycetes; Glomerales; Glomeraceae. The record is from RNAcentral.
AGCAGCCGCGGUAAUUCCAGCUCCAAUAGCGUAUAUUAAAGUUGUUGCAGUUAAAAGCUCGUAGUUGAAUUUCGGGGUUAGUAGGUUGGUCAUGCCUCUGGUAUGUACUGGUCUCACUGAUUCCUCCUUCCUGAUGAACCUUAAUGCCAUUAAUUUGGUGUUUUGGGGAAUUUGGACUGUUACUUUGAAAAAUUGAGUGUUUAAAGCAAGCUAACGCUUGAAUACAUUAGCAUGGAAUAAUGAAAUAGGACGUUCGAUCCUAUUUUGUUGGUUUCUAGGAUUGACGUAAUGAUUAAUAGGGAUAGUUGGGGGCAUUAGUAUUCAAUUGUCAGAGGUGAAAUUCUUGGAUUUAUUGAAGACUAACUACUGCGAAAGCAUUUGCCAAGGAUGUUUUCAUUAAUCAAGAACGAAAGUUAGGGAUCGAAGACGAUCAGAUACCGUCGUAGUCUUAACCAUAAACUAUGCCGACUAGGGAUCGGAUGAUGUUAAUUUUUUAAUGUACUCAUUCGGCGCCUUACGG